RNAcentral lists this long non-coding RNA (1441 nucleotides) under Felis catus (domestic cat). RNAcentral describes it as "lncRNA (ENSFCAG00000052278.1)". The record is from RNAcentral. Lineage: Eukaryota; Metazoa; Chordata; Mammalia; Carnivora; Felidae.
AUGUUAGAAGCGAAAGUUGGCAUAAGCCCGUCAUGUGCUCGGAAGCUAGAAGACGCUCCGCUGUGCCAGUCGUGGGCUAAAGAGAGUACACCCAGCAUCACACGGGACCUGCCCCGAGGGGUCGAGGAAACACGAGUUCUCACGAUUGGCGCGAGGCGGGCACGAGGUCCCUCCAGGGCGACCAGUGGCCUUCGGACCCCUACCGGACAAGAGGGCAGUUGGAAGGGGAUGAUCCGAACGUCAGACGGUGGCAUGGACCGUCCGCCCUACUCCCCACAGUGUCUCGUUCUCGGUCCGGAGCCAGACACGGGUUGGGCGGGACCCAAAAGGAAGCGCCAUCAACAGGCCCUCGAUCUCGUGAGCGGCGCUGGCUUGUCGGGAACGGUGAAGAAGCUGCCAUGUUGUUUUUUGGCCACGGGCACCUCUGUUCGCUGCUUCUGAGAACCUUCAGGUGACUUUUCUUUUUUUCUUUAAAAAAAACCAUUUUUUUUAAUGUUUGAUUUUUGAGACAGAGAGAGAGACAGAGCACGAGUGGGGGAAGGGCAGAGAGACACACACAGCAUCCGAAGCAGGCCCCAGGCCCCGAGCUGUCAGCACAGAGCCCGACGAGGGGCCCAAACUCACAAACGGGGAGAUCGUGACCUGAGCCGAUGUCAGACAUCCAACCGGCUGAGCCACCCAGGCGCCCCUCAGGUGACUUUUCUAACCGGAGAUGCGGAAAGUCGCGUAAAAGCAGUGACCAUGCACCAGCCACGUCUUCAUGGCCUGAGUUAGGUCACGUCGGCUCAGGGACACGCGGGAGGAGCUCCCCAAACACGGCUUUAGUUGCACGGCCUGAACGGAGCUGAGGAAGAAUUCACUAUUUUUCUGCCUAAAUGUCAUCACCAAGCUUUAAAUAGGUUGGAUUCAGUGAGUCCUUGAACACAUUUGGUUAAUCAGUGUCUCCCUGCCCCUUGGUCUUUAAAUGCAAGUGGGUUUUAAAGGAAAUUAUGACUCAUAUGUUUCUAAUUCUCUUAUUCUUGCUGAAACUUAUCUAACGUUGCUUUGUAAUAGUUAUCUGAUGUCUGAAAGUUUUUGAACUUUUAACUGUUUUCCCAAAGUCAGGACCUUAUGUUCAGAAAAACAAUUAGCUCAAAACCCUACAUUUUUCAACUCUGAACUCAUGAGGUUUGCAAUGACUUUUAUACGUGAGCAAAUGUUAUUCUCUACAAAAAGCUGAGGAUUAAAUCAUCGAAUUCCCAUUUUCCAUGUGGCACCGUAGGUGGGGAACAAGGAGACCGGCCUUCAGCUUUGCAUGGGGGCGGUGCAUCCGCGUGAGCAACGCCCCCUCUGGCUGGGGACGGUGACGGGCAAGGUCCAGGCGCUGGGACGGGGGUCGGGGGCCUGCCCUCUACAGGAUUCGGUCCCCACAGAUGUCCACGUUGUGUUUGAGGAGAGGCAU